This 514-nucleotide ribosomal RNA is filed under the name uncultured rumen bacterium. RNAcentral describes it as "bacterial SSU rRNA". It matches the Rfam family "Bacterial small subunit ribosomal RNA", at positions 57 to 556 of the family's 1533-position model. The record is from RNAcentral.
GCAAGUCGAACGGAGUAUUGCGCUGAAACGAGAGUAGCUUGCUACAGGAAUUUCUUGUAAUACUUAGUGGCGGACGGGUGAGUAACGCGUGAGGAACCUGCCUUACAGAGGGGGACAACAGUUGGAAACGACUGCUAAUACCGCAUAACAUAUUGAGAGGACAUCCUCUUAAUAUCAAAGGAGCAAUCCGCUGUAAGAUGGCCUCGCGUCUGAUUAGAUAGUUGGUGAGGUAACGGCCCACCAAGUCGACGAUCAGUAGCCGGACUGAGAGGUUGAACGGCCACAUUGGGACUGAGACACGGCCCAGACUCCUACGGGAGGCAGCAGUGGGGGAUAUUGCACAAUGGAGGAAACUCUGAUGCAGCAACGCCGCGUGAGGGAAGAAGGUUUUCGGAUUGUAAACCUCUGUUUUUAGCGAAGAAAGAAAUGACGGUAGCUAAAGAGGAAGCCACGGCUAACUACGUGCCAGCAGCCGCGGUAAUACGUAGGUGGCAAGCGUUGUCCGGAUUUACUG